RNAcentral lists this unclassified non-coding RNA (272 nucleotides) under Hevea brasiliensis (rubber tree). Lineage: Eukaryota; Viridiplantae; Streptophyta; Magnoliopsida; Malpighiales; Euphorbiaceae. The record is from RNAcentral.
GAAGAAGAGGACCGAGGAAAUUUGUUUGGUUGUGAUUUUGAAGAAAAUGAUGUCAGUUGUUGGAACGAAUUUAGUUCUCAAGCUGAUAUAACAUCAGCUUUAUGUGGGGAUUGGAUGUGCAUCCCAAUGUUGUGGUUUGAGGUUUUGGUUGAAACUGAUCCCUUGAUUCUUCCAGUAUCAUUUGCUAAGUCUGUUUUCUGGGCUCUGUCACGUCUUCCUUUUCUUGAAUCUGAUAAUGAGUUUGGUAUGACACCUUCAGCCAGUCACUGGUU